UCGCAGGGUGGCCGAGUAAAAGCGGUAAGCUGUAAACUUUCUAACAAGGUAUUAAAGCCUUUCUUGCGAG
Molecule: transfer RNA, 70 nt
Filed under: Mytilus californianus (California mussel)
Lineage: Eukaryota; Metazoa; Mollusca; Bivalvia; Mytilida; Mytilidae
Description: tRNA-Tyr
Source: RNAcentral